RNAcentral lists this transfer RNA (82 nucleotides) under Kitasatospora griseola. RNAcentral's name for it is "tRNA-Tyr". It matches the Rfam family "tRNA". From Rfam's summary of the family: Transfer RNA (tRNA) molecules are approximately 80 nucleotides in length. Their secondary structure includes four short double-helical elements and three loops (D, anti-codon, and T loops). Further hydrogen bonds mediate the characteristic L-shaped molecular structure. tRNAs have two regions of fundamental functional importance: the anti-codon, which is responsible for specific mRNA codon recognition, and the 3' end, to which the tRNAs corresponding amino acid is attached (by aminoacyl-tRNA synthetases). tRNAs cope with the degeneracy of the genetic code in two manners: having more than one tRNA (with a specific anti-codon) for a particular amino acid; and 'wobble' base-pairing, i.e. permitting non-standard base-pairing at the 3rd anti-codon position. Lineage: Bacteria; Bacillati; Actinomycetota; Actinomycetes; Kitasatosporales; Streptomycetaceae. The record is from RNAcentral.
GGAUGGUCGGCGACGAUGGAGUGUCGCACCGGGUUGUAACCCCGGCGCUUCGGCUUAGGGGGUUCGAAUCCCUCACUAUCCA